RNAcentral lists this microRNA precursor (97 nucleotides) under Prunus dulcis (almond). RNAcentral describes it as "sRNA ncRNA". Lineage: Eukaryota; Viridiplantae; Streptophyta; Magnoliopsida; Rosales; Rosaceae. The record is from RNAcentral.
AAUACAAUAAUUUAACAGUAUAGCCGUGCGGCUAUACGCUAUAAAUAGAAUAUUUUAAACCUAUAGCCGCUUGGCUAUACUCUUUAAAUAGAAUAUU